AGAAGAAUGUGUUCAAGGGGAUACAUAAGAACAAGUUGUUCUUGGGUAUCAUUGGGGUAACCAUAGUCCUUCAGGUGCUGAUGGUGGAGUUUCUGAAAAAGUUCGCAGACACAGAGAGGUUGAAUUGGGGCCAAUGGGUUGCAUGCAUUGGUAUGGCAGCCGUCUCCUGGCCAAUUGGUUGGGUUGUCAAGAGUUUACCUGUGCCGGAGAAACCCAUAUUCAGCUAUAUCAAGCGGAGGAAAUAGAAUUUCUAAUGUUAUUCUUUUUUCUUGGGAUAAAUAAAAGCUCGG
Molecule: unclassified non-coding RNA, 290 nt
Filed under: Hevea brasiliensis (rubber tree)
Lineage: Eukaryota; Viridiplantae; Streptophyta; Magnoliopsida; Malpighiales; Euphorbiaceae
Source: RNAcentral